Molecule: long non-coding RNA, 761 nt
Filed under: Mus pahari (shrew mouse)
Lineage: Eukaryota; Metazoa; Chordata; Mammalia; Rodentia; Muridae
Description: lncRNA (MGP_PahariEiJ_G0012435.1)
Rfam family: SOX2 overlapping transcript exon 1 (bases 1-162)
Source: RNAcentral
CUGACUGUGGCAGGGGACACUCUCCUGCUGGCUCUCUCUGUCCACACUUAGCUGGCUCCUGUCCUCAGGUGCACGGCCACACCCUUGCACCCAACCUUGAUCCUCUGAUGGGGAAGGUCCCAGAACUUGUCUGCUGGGACAGGCCUCACCCCCAAGAGCUCUGGGCAGUACUGAGAAGCCUGGCUGCCUCAGUAUCUUCAGGAGAGCCACGGUGACCACAGUAGCUUUCUCUUCAAAAUGACAACUAUCUCGUCUCCUCAGACUCCAUUAACUCCACCAGCAGUCAGAAGAAAACUCACAAAAUGGAGGUUGGGAAGCUUGAUCUCUAGAACAUUCACAGGACGACAGGAUGAGAGAAAACAGGUGUGACGCAGAGGUAGCUACAAUGUGAAGCAACUGUGCGUCGGCCGACUUUAUCCAUAAAGAAUUCCAGCCGGCCUCACGGUUUUCAAGACCACACACUCUGAGGGGCGGAGCACAUAUCAAGCAGAUCGCUGUCUCUUAGAGUAACGGAAGAGGAAGAUAAAGGACACUCAGACUCAGUGCACAUCCGGUCAAGCCUGACCCAAACAACUUCCUCUUCGCAGACAGACUUUCAGAUCCUGCUUGCAGAGUCCCAACCCCGUGCAGAGGACAUUGGUGCCUCAUUGGCUGUUGCUCUUCAUUUUAAUGGGGGAUUGCAGAGGCAAAGCUAGGCUAGGUCUUGGAGGCUGGUGUAAGGCGGUGCGUGAAGGCAGGACGCUGAUGGGAGAGACUGGUCG